AGAGUUUGAUCAUGGCUCAGAAUCAACGCUGGCGGCGUGCCUAACACAUGCAAGUCGAACGAGAAAGUGGAGCAAUCCAUGAGUAAAGUGGCGCACGGGUGAGUAACACGUGACUAACCUACCCUUGAGUGGGGAAUAACUUCGGGAAACCGAGGCUAAUACCGCAUAACACCUACGGGUCAAAGGAGCAAUUCGCUUAAGGAGGGGGUCGCGGCAGAUUAGUUAGUUGGCGGGGUAAUGGCCCACCAAGACGGUGAUCUGUAUCCGGCCUGAGAGGGCGCACGGACACACUGGAACUGAAACACGGUCCAGACUCCUACGGGAGGCAGCAGUGGGGAAUUUUGCGCAAUGGGGGAAACCCUGACGCAGCAACGCCGCGUGGAGGAUGAAGUCCCUUGGGACGUAAACUCCUUUCGAUCGGGACGAUUAUGACGGUACCGGAAGAAGAAGCCCCGGCUAACUUCGUGCCAGCAGCCGCGGUAAUACGAGGGGGGCGAGCGUUGUUCGGAAUUAUUGGGCGUAAAGGGCGCGUAGGCGGUUGGAUAAGUCUCGUGUGAAAUCUUCGGGCUCAACUCGAAGUCUGCACGAGAAACUAUCCGGCUAGAGUGUGGGAGAGGUGAGUGGAAUUCCUGGUGUAGCGGUGAAAUGCGUAGAUAUCAGGAGGAACACCUGUGGCGAAAGCGGCUCACUGGACCACAACUGACGCUGAGGCGCGAAAGCUAGGGGAGCAAACAGGAUUAGAUACCCUGGUAGUCCUAGCCCUAAACGAUGAUCGCUUGGUGUGACGGGUACCCAAUCCCGCCGUGCCGAAGCUAACGCGUUAAGCGAUCCGCCUGGGGAGUACGGUCGCAAGGCUGAACUCAAGGAUUGACGGGGCCCGCACAAGCGGUGGAGCAUGUGGUUUAAUUCGACGCACGCGAAGAACCUUACCUGGGCUCGA
This 940-nucleotide ribosomal RNA is filed under the name uncultured bacterium. Its description in RNAcentral is "bacterial SSU rRNA". It matches the Rfam family "Bacterial small subunit ribosomal RNA", at positions 8 to 984 of the family's 1533-position model. The record is from RNAcentral.